AUAAUACUGCUGACCCGUGACACGUCCUAUGAACAGGCGGUUGUUCAUAACUAAAACUCUGACUGUAGCGUCCUGCGUACAACCGCCUGUUCAUAACGCGGCCAAUGACUUUGAACGUCACCUGUAGCUGCUUACAAGUGAAUGUUUCCAGUAUAAAAAAUAUUUCUCUAUGCCUUAAACAUUUAUAAUUCGAAUCGACACGACUCCGAGACAGGCAAUAGAGACCAAAACCACAAAAUAAAAAAAAAAAGUGAAUCAUUGAUUGAGUUGCGUCAUCGGCCAUAGUUUGUGACAUUUCUCUUGUUCAACGAAUAUUUGGAUUGUGAAUUAUGCCGAGAGGAAUAAUUAGAUGAGUGAUAAUUGAGACGUAUAUUACUGGAAAUUUUACGUAGAAUACGUUUAUGAUAUUGGUUUUAGGGAUAUUUGAAGAAUACUCAGUGAAAAAGUGUCUCAACUUUUCAGUGCGGAAGACGCAAAAUGGCGCUUUUUUUCUUGUUUGUGAAUAAUGGAUAUUUGUUAUUAUUCAUAGUGAAAUACGUUGUGUUAAAUGUGUGAAAAUAUAAGUGAAUGUAUUUGGCAAUCGUGUAGUGAUAUGAAAACGUGAAUAUGAUCAUUUGAUGACUCACCAUUAUCAUGUAAGUGUUAGUAUGUAAGCAAUUAAAAUUAAAACAAAAGAAAAUCAAUUUUUUAUAAUUUUAUAGAAAAAAUAUAUCGUCAUGAUUACAUUUUUAUGCUAUAACUAGUUUCUUCCUCUUUCCAAAAAUAUAUCAUACAUGGCAUAUAAUUAUAGAACAAUAGGGUAAAUAAAAUUUUCAAACUCGGUAGUCAUAAAAAAGCUAGAUUUCGUAAACUACCUCGACAUACUUGGGACACAUAACAUCCGUGCAUAGGACGUGUCACGGGGU
Long non-coding RNA from Colias croceus (clouded yellow), 905 nucleotides. RefSeq lists it as uncharacterized. The record is from RefSeq and is a predicted model, not a curated record. Lineage: Eukaryota; Metazoa; Arthropoda; Insecta; Lepidoptera; Pieridae. The transcript has 3 exons.